Molecule: long non-coding RNA, 3454 nt
Organism: Triticum aestivum (bread wheat)
Lineage: Eukaryota; Viridiplantae; Streptophyta; Magnoliopsida; Poales; Poaceae
Exons: 3
Source: RefSeq, a predicted model, not a curated record
CAGAAAAAUAUAGGCGAACACGAGCACGAGGGCUCGCCUUCGAUGCGUGCGGGUACGCCGCCGCCGCCGCCGCCGCCGCUGCCGCACGCCGCCUCUCCGGCCAUCCGCUGCCGCUGACGCGCGCGGUCUCUCUGCCAUCCGCCGCCCUGUUCGCCUUCCCUUCCCCAUCCGUCUCAAUCUUCUCUGGCGCCACCUGAAGCCUCCUCAACCUGCAAGCUCCUGCCAUCAAGCCCUUCUAAUCUCGCUGGAACAUGGACUUAACCGGAACGCCGUCCUGCUAGCCGUGCCCACUUGAGCGAGGAGAGAGUGGUGAGGCGGCUUAGGUGAGGCUCAGGACGGCGUCUCGCAUUUCUGGUGUUCGACAGUAUGCCUAAGCAGUGACCGCAUCCACGAUGAUAUCCAGUUCUUUGUCUCGUGUAAGAGUAUUAUGAUAUAUGAGAUGCUUGAAUGAAGGGAUCCUUGGAUUGUGUGCAAUAACAGUUUGUGUAAAUAUCUGAGGGUAAAGACAGCUCACGUAGAUGCCUCUGUGACCAGACCUCUCUAUAUAUCCUUUUCUAUAAACUAAUAGUUGUCAUUGCCAUACUAAUUGUGUGCUUUUCUAUUAGAAAAUCUCAGGGUAAAGACAUCUCAUGGGGAUGCCUAUGUGACCAGACCUCUCUAUAUAUCCUUUUCUAUAAACUAAUAGAUGUCAUUGCCAUACUAAUUGUGUACUUUUCUAUUAGAAAAGCACAAGAGAUUUGCUUCUGUACUCCUAAUUAAUCUGGUUUAGUUUCAGCAUAAUUGUUCUCAGUCAUUAUCCUCAAAUAUUUAAUAUGAACUAAUGCAGUCACGACACCAUAUUUCUUCCCCUGCUAUACACUUAUAUCACUAUACCAAUUUAAAUAUAGGGAGCUGCCUAUGGACUUGGAAGCCUGAAAAAGGAAAAUAGUAAACAACUUUGAGUCUCACAAUCAAAAUUGAGACGAUAUUGUAUAUAUUUAAUUGGAAUUAUGUGAAAAUUGUAGUGUGCCUUAUCUAUUUCCUUAUCUGUUGUUAUGUAUUAUUUGUAUAGUUACUGUUUUUAAUGUUUAAUUUAACCUUAUGUAAUUUCUGAAAAAACUGAAAGAUGCAUAACAUUGUUAUGCUGAUCAUGGAGGAUGGAUAUUUCUUUGAGCUUCUAUCGUCGAUAGGGACGCUGUAGUGAGAUUUCUAUCGAACUCAAGAUAUUGAAAGUUGAAGGUUGGCACUGGUGGGGCUUGCUUCUAUGAGCACUGUUAGGUAUGUGGCGUCAACAAGUUACGCUUAGAAGUACUAAACUUAUGUACGCAAAUAUCACUAUGUUUUGCACACACCUGGGUGCUAAUUCUUCCUUGGAUUUUUCGUACGCAAAUAGCACUACCUUACAUUUCACACACCAGGGUGCUAAUUCUUUAAAGUAUUAUUCUAUAAAAUAUGAAUUUAAAUUUAGGCAGGUCUAUCUUACAUAUGCGAACUCAUGUUAAUUUUCAGCGAGUGAAACAUGUGUUAUGUGACCCACAAGAGCAUCUUCACUGCCUAACAAGGAUAUAAGCCCCCAUCUUGAAGAAAACAUUGAAUGUAAGAAUGUCAUAAUAGAAAAUUACUCAGAAAAUUAUAAAAACAAGCUUGCCGAUCAGUUACGGCUGAUGUCUUUCCUUGAUUUUCUUUGUUGCCGUUCCGCCAUAAUAUAUUGUUCAAGGAAGUUCAAGGUAGCUCCUUGCCAAGCUGACAUGUCCUUACCAUUGUAGGUUAGAGAAUUGACUUCUCAUAAACUUUUUUUGUACCCCUUUUCAGCCAGAUAGUUAUAUUGUGAAACACUUGACAAAGAAGCUCUCUGUCAACUAUUAAAGCAUUGCCAAUUUCUGUCCUAAAGCUGAAUGUUUUUGUGGGCAAUUGGUUCAUAAAAGCAAUGGCAAGUGAGAACUACUAAAGCAUUGAGUGUCUCCUUGCCUCCCUCACGGGCUACACACGUUGCGACCUGCUCGGAUGCAACAUGCUGGUCUUCCAAGGAGCCGCCGCCGAGCACACCGGUGUUUCCGGGUUGUACGAGGCCCUGUAAACACUUAUAAUUUUAGUGAUGUUGGCACAACCUGACCUUGCUGAUGCGACAUGAGGUGUUUUUUUCUAGCAAUCACGCACAUCUGAAGACUUACUGGACUACUUUCCGAACUGACCGGACGCGACAUGAUAGGCAAGUACAAAAGAGCUAGCUGAUUGAUUCACCAUACAAUUAUACUAUUAUCUGAAGGCACGAUUAGCUGCUGCUGGAAGUGUUGAUGUAUUGGUAUUGGCAGGUUUUGCCAGUACUUGAAAUGCCAUUUUAAGUAGAGGUAUUAGAGAUACGAAGUUCUAACUCUGUUCUUGUGCUAAUCUAAAAAUAAUUUGGUGAUUUCAAGUAGUUCUGAGAAUAUAAGUCUUAUCCCUUUUUUUAAUAAUGGUAAGAGCAUAGAUCUCAUCGACCAGGAAAUAAUCCAUCAGGUAAGCAAAACACUGAAUAAUCACCAUCUGUACGAAAUAGUACCUGCACAUAUUAUUUCCAUGAUGAAAAAAGUUGGUUUGUUUACUGUAAUGAACCACCUUAUGGCCUUUGUGUAUUCCAGGAACUACCAAGGUUCCGUAUCUUCCUGUUUGAUCCAAAAUGCAUAUACACAUGAUUAUGAUGGAGAUACUAUCUGGUAUGAACAACAUAAUCAUCUUGCAAUACUAACAUGUAUUCAUUUAACUCAUUUAUGCACAUAAUAGUGAUGCAUCUUAUGUGUUCUAUUCUAUCUGAAGCUUCAAUGCAAUUAACUGCAGAAGUUGCCAUCAACAGGAUUGAGCAAUGUGGCAUAUAAGCUUUAGCUUGCUGGUUCAUAUUAUCAGUGUUAAUCUUCUGGUCGUGGCAAUUUUUUAGACUUUUUGAGGUAGCUAAACUAAUCUGGUGUUAAGCUAUGAAGGAUUUUGCUUUUGGAAAGGUUACUGAAAGGAUACCUUAACUUUGUUUUAUCCCCUAGAUCAAUUUUUUUUCUGGAAAGGUUACUGAAAGAGUACCUUAACUUUCUUUCAUCCCCUAGAUCGGUUUAAGUAUGUUAAGCCCACGUUUAUUUAGAUGUAUAGCUUUGCAUGACAGUCUUGUUUUAACAGAUUAUUGGGGCAUUAUGCAAUGUAUAUUCUGCAUUUCUGCUCAUCAUUAUUCUCAUGUAUAUUGGCACUUUCCUUUGGGGAUAACCAGGCGCCUACGCUUUAAGCGAACAGGAACAACGCAAGUGCUCCCUACACCUCCUCUCAAAUUCUGCCCAAGAGCAUCCUACUUUCUCCCUGUUUGCUUAAAGUUCUUCUUAUUUUUACAGCUUGAGGUUCAUAAAAUAUAUGUACCCAGUUGUGGUUACGAUGGUUGAUUGUUAGCUAGACCUUUGUGUCGUUAAUUAUACAGAUUAAUUGUGUUCAGUCUUACCGAUAAAAAGACUAUUCCCCUUUU